CACGGAGUUAGCCGGGGCUUAUUCUCCCGAUACUGUCAUUAUCAUCUCGGGUAAAAGAGCUUUACAACCCUAAGGCCUUCAUCGCUCACGCGGCAUUGCUGGAUCAGGGUUUCCCCCAUUGUCCAAUAUUCCCUACUGCUGCCUCCCGUAGGAGUCUGGGCCGUGUCUCAGUCCCAGUGUGGCUGAUCAUCCUCUCAGACCAGCUAAGGAUCGUCGCCUUGGUGGGCCUUUACCCCACCAACUAGCUAAUCCUACGCGGGCUCAUCCUUGGGCGAUAAAUCUUUGGACUUACGUCAUCAUCCGGUAUUAGCUUCAGUUUCCCGAAGUUAUUCCGAACCCAAGGGCAGAUUCCCACGCGUUACGCACCCGUGCGCCACUAACACCGAAGUGUUCGUUCGACUUGCAUGUAUUAGGCAUGCCGCCAGCGUUCGUUCUGAGCCAGGAUCAAACUC
This 452-nucleotide ribosomal RNA is filed under the name uncultured Sphingobium sp. Its description in RNAcentral is "partial 16S ribosomal RNA". The record is from RNAcentral. Lineage: Bacteria; Pseudomonadati; Pseudomonadota; Alphaproteobacteria; Sphingomonadales; Sphingobiaceae.